Molecule: long non-coding RNA, 5209 nt
Organism: Fukomys damarensis (Damara mole-rat)
Lineage: Eukaryota; Metazoa; Chordata; Mammalia; Rodentia; Bathyergidae
Exons: 3
Source: RefSeq, a predicted model, not a curated record
GAAUCCCUCUCUCCUGUCGUGUGUCUCCCACUCCCACUGGACUUCAGUCUUCUGUCUUCCCAAGGGCUUAGUGUCUCCUUGAAACCCCCACUUUUCUAUCUUCUGUUCAUGGAAGGUUCUAGGGCUUCCUUCCAUGGAGAAUUUCUCAUGUAAACUUAAAACUCCCAGUGAAUCACUGAACUUCUUUGCCACUCAGUAAAGAAGACUUUGGCAAUUAUAUUAAUGUAGCUUUCUCUCCUCCUCCUCCCGUCCCCUCCCCCUCCCCCUCCUCUUCCUCCUCCUCCUUCUCCUCUUUUGUUGUUUUUCUGUAAACAGCUUUGAAUUAAAAUAGAGCAGGACAAGGAACCAAGGAGCGCUUGUUCCUGUUCCUAGAUCAGGAAAAGUUUCGUGGAGAGUAUGGAAGAAAACAGCUUGGCAAAUAACGGUAAUUCUUGGGAUAAGUUCCUAAAUGCCUGCAUUCUGUCCCAGGACUUCUAGCAGGUCCACACAGAAAGGUGCUUAUUGCUUCUCACAGCUGGCUCUCCAGUGCCUAGGAAGGCUUUCCUGACUCAACGAGAGCUCACUCUGAAUUUGAGCUGACAGAGUAUAUGAAUGAACUUCAUUUCAUCACUGUUAACAAACAUGAAAUAUACUCAGCCUUAAUAAUUAAAGUAAAACAGUGAUAAGCUAUGUUUCACUUGUCAGACUUACAACCAUCUGGAGAAGGAGGAGGAGGAAGAAGAGGUGAAGGACGAGUGCACACAAAUAUGUGGCUAAACUAGUCCUCUUCUCUAUUGCUGGGAGAGAAAAUUGGUGCAAUAUUUCUGAUGGGCCAUUUGCAAUCACAUAUCAAAGUCUACAGACCAAGUAAAAAAUGGGCAAACAACAGAAUCGUUAUUUCCCUAAAGAACAUAAGUGGCUGAUAAAAGAUGUUCAACAUUACUAGUCAUUAACACUAAAUACAUCAAAAUCACAAUGAGAUACCACGUUAUACCCAUUUGGGUGGAUAUUAUUAAACAAAACAAAGGAGAACAACAACAGCUGGUGUGAACGUGGAGAAACCCCGAGCAUUGGUGGUAGGAGUAUAAUGUACAGCUGUGAGAAGAACAGCUUGGGGGAAUCCUCAAAAAGUUAAACAGCGUUACCCUGUGAUCCAGUAACCCCCCCUAAGUACAGUAUAUACCCUGAAGAAUUAAAAACAGGGACUGAAAUAGACACUCAUACACUUUUAUUGACGGCAGAAUAAUUUACAAUAGGAAAAAGGUGAAAGCAACCCAAAUGUCUAUUAACAGACAUACGCAAAAGCGAAUGUGGUAUUACAGAUGCAAUGGAAUAUUAUUCAAAUUUAAAGGAAUAAAAACUGAGAUUGCAACCAAGCCGAUAAAUGUGAAAACUUUGUUCAAAUGAAACAAGCCAGACACAUAAGGACAAAAGCUGUACGACACCAUUUCUGUGAGAGGCCUAGGAAGGGCGGUCACACGGAGAGCAGAACAGAGGUUACCAGGAGCUGGGAAGGGGACUGGUGAGGAGUGGGGAGGUGAUAAUGUAGUUGGUACAAAGCCUUAUUUGGGAUGAUGAAAAAGUUCUAGAGAUGGAAGAUGGUCACACAGCAUUGUGAACGGACCUAAUGCCGCUGGGCUGUCUCCUUUCAAAUUGUUAAAAUUAUAAAUUUCGUAUUGUGUGUAUUUGAUUUUACCAAGUUUUUCAUUUGUAUUAUAGUAUAUGCAGAUUUUUAAUUCAAAAUCCAAUUCCUAAGACUUAACUCAGGAGAUAAUGCCCAGGGUGAGAUACAUAUGCACCAAUCUGUCAACCUCAAGGUCCACCAGGAAAUAUCUAUGUACACAGUGUCUGGCACGAUAAAUACACAAAAGAGACUAUUUUGCAAGCAUUAAAUAUGACAGGGUAGGGUGUUUCAGAUAAAACAAUCUCCAUUGCGUUACUGUUCAAUAAAAAAGCAAGUUACAGAAUGCAUGUAAAGUAUGAUCCUGCCAAUGUAAAAAUUCUAGAUAUUCUCCAAAUGUCAACUGGGGUUAUCCUCUCAGUGAUGGAUUUAAAAAUGGUUUUCCAAUUGCUCUCUUCAUAAUUUUCCAGACUAGUUGAAUUUUUUAUAAGGAAUAUUUUAAGCAAAGCAAAAUACGCCAUUGCAAACUCAUAGUCAUUGCUUUUCACGUUAAUUAAGAAAGGUGAGGCCUUGAUACUUGCAAUUAGACAUUUUCUGUGUUUCCUUUUCCAUAGCAACGAUACUUGUGAGUGAGUCAGAAAUGUCUGAAAGGAGAGGAACCUACCUCGGUCAGUGGUGUUAGCUCUCUGUCAUGCACAAGGAGAGCUCUUAUUUCAGAGCAACAUCCAAUUAUCAUGUUCUAGAAAUAAGAAGGAAAUAUAGUAAGGUUGAUACUACUGUAGACACUGUAUAUUACAUUGUAAACUUAUUUUAUUUGUCUUGUUUUUUAAUACCCAACUCUAAUUCUGAGGAUAAAGCAGAAGGACUCAGAAAUUACAAUUCUUAAGUAAUUAGGGUUAUUUGAAAAAAAUGAUAGCCAAAAAUAUAAGAUCUGCAAUUAAUCAAGAACAAUACAUUAUUUUCGAAUUCUGUGUCUAUUCAUUGCUGAAAGUCAUGUGUUACCGGGGAAUCACAAAUACAGUAAUUUGCACCAAAGCAAGACUUUCAGAAACUGCCUUUCUUCUGAGAAGAAAGCCUUGGAAUAAAGAGAUUCAGGCCUCAGAAAAGGGUUCACCAAAGAGGAAUGACUGGAAGUUGGGCAUGAAUAAGGAGAGGGAAUGGAAGGAAAGGCUCAGAGGCAAGAGCACGAAUACACUGCCUACCAAUGACACUGCCCACGGCCUUGACUCUUGGGACACAGCAAGGGAUAUGUGGGGGCAGCUGACCCAAGGCAGACGGACCCAGAGCCAGAGGUGAAACGCUUCCUUGUUACGUCAUCGUGUACGGAAGGACGACAGAGGAAAACUACAGUCAGUGCGAGCUGUGCGAGCUGAGAGAUCACAGGGAGGUGGGGAACGGAGCCACUGAGGCAGAUGUGAGGGCUAAGAGGAAGCCUCUGAGACGAGGGAGAAGCUAGGCCCCUGCCCACUCGUGUGCCACCGUGGCUCCUGCAUCUCUGGUUCCACUUUCUGUAAGGCCCACAUCCUUGUAAGGAACCCAUCCUUGGUGCUGCAAAAGCUAACUUCUUGCACUCUGCCACAUUUGUGCUUCCUCCCUCCUAGCCUGUUUUACCUGAGCGAGUGUCAUUUUCCUUACAACUAAAACAGUCAUGACUAUGAGACCACCAGAGAUCAGCUACGCCCACCCCACAAUGCUCCCAGCACGCAGCCCCAAAGGAAGCAGCCAUUUGCUUUAUGUAGUAGUACAUACAUGUACUAGCAUUCAGAACAUCAACAUGAUAAAAUACAUUAAUUUUAAAAUUAUGACUGAGUGAUGCUGGUUAAAACCUGAAAACAAAGUGGCAAACGACAGUAGACCUUACAGCCCCAAACCAUGUUAUAUCUAAGUUUUAAUAAGUGUGUAAACAUGGAAACGAUCCAAUUCCAGAGUUACAAAACUACAGCUAAUUCAAUUCCUUUUAACAAAUGUAUGCAAGAUAUUAUAUUAAGUCCCAUGCGACACAAAGAUGAAGAAACAUAAAAUCCUCAAAAUAUCUGUAAUUACUGAGAAAAAAGGAUUAAAAACCCAACUAAAUUAGGUACCAAGCAGAAUAUGCUCAGCUGACCUAUUACAGGACCCUAGAGGAGGAAAGAGUAUGAUAUCUCAGUAUGAUAAACAAGGAGGACUUCUUGGAAGAAGGUUCACGGAGCUGAGCCUUGAAAGAGUCAGGGGCUUUCAAGCAGAGUGGGGGGACAGAGGUACCAGGUGGCGAGAGCUAUUUAGGUAACAAGCAGGGGACAUUCGGGGAACACAGGAGAUCUGACACCGCCUCUAUCUGCAGGUGAGUCUUGGAAGCACAGCGGUGCAGGUGGUGACAAACAGGCCGACAAGCACAUUUAUAAGAAGAACUUAUUCAAGAGUGAGGAGUUUAGCUUUUAUUGCAGGGAACUGGACAGAGAUUGCCUUUAAAAUUUUUCUGACCGUGCCUUAAAGGCAAACUGGUCUGGAAAAAGACAAGUGAGAGACAGAGAUCAGCUAGGAGGCCACUCAGACUGUCUGGACACAGUUGAUUUUGGCUGGAAAUGGCAGGGCCCCGUGGUACUAAAAAUGGUGGAAGGCAGGCAAAAGGCCCACAGCACCGAACAGGAUCACCCGAUGGCAAACCUUCCAGGCUCCUGGCUCACUGGACCAGACAGAGAGGAGCACACACCUACUCCUGUAACUCUGCCUUCGCUAUAAAUCUAUAUUCCUCACUGAGUUCCCGGGCCUGGCUGAAGUAUGUUUUCUUGCAGUAACAGCCAUGAUUGGUUACUGCCCUAAUUCCAUCACGAGCUAUCAAGGAGAAUGAUACUGACCGUAUCAUUAAUCACCUCACGUAACACAUGAAGGGGCGACAUUACCCUGAUAGAUGCCGUCGGACACCUGUCUCAACACUGGUCAAAAAGAAAUCCCCUCUCAUCCACAGUCGAUUACUCUGGCAUUAUUUGAGGAAAACCACAUACACACACUGUGAGACUGGCUCAUCUGAGGCUGGGGCUGCGAACCCCUCCUGUGACCUUGCUACCACAGACGCAGAGACAGGCAGAAAGCAGAGCUCAUCAGUCGAAGUCAGAAAGUGGCCGGAAGCAUGCUGUCGCUGGUGAGGGGCAGGACUGUCUCUUGCUCAGUUUUUGCUAAGUCUCCCUUCAAAACAACAUUUGUCGAAUUUACGCAGAUGGCCCCUGAGUGACUAAAGCUUAGAGGUGCAGAGGUUACAGUUCUCCUGCAGCCCCUGGAUUGCUCUUGAGAAGGUUGCUAUAAAAAGUGCGAGCCUAUCCUGCUAUGCCCUUCCUCUGAUCCCAAGUCAAGGUGUGACCCCUCUUCAGUUGGCGCUGCACCACCUGCAGUCCACCACAGGCCCUUGCUAGAGCCAUGCUGCUCCAUGCUGUUCAAAUCUCCAAAACACGAGCUAAAUAAACCUCUUUUCUUUAUAAGUAGUCUGCCUCAAAUUUCAGUUACAAAAAAACAAAACAAAGCAAAACAAAAACUGGCUGUUAUGGUUGGAGAAAAGAUUUAGGAAUUCUGCUGUGUGUGAUUAAAGGAAUCACCUACAGAUCUUCCUAAAAAAGACUCCAUAUAAAGAAUAAGAAA